CAAAGUAAAUCUUGCCAAGAAUUACAAUCAUUCUGAAUAUUAAUGGCAUCAGACUUGAAAAAAAUAAGGAUGUGAAAUUUUGCUUGUUCCUAUCUCUUCAACAGAUUUGCACUAGUAGGCUUCUUGAUUCUUUCUCACAAGUGUGGAUGGGAGGAAAGGACUGAUGGUGUGAUUGAGAGAAGAAAUCUGUCAACCAUAAAGAUUGAUGUCCAGGAGCUUGUUUCUCAUACAGAUCAUCACCACAGGAAUUGAACUCGGGUCCUUGCGCUUGUGCAGCAGGCGACGAAACCACUGAACUAAAUCCCCGGCCCAAUAACUACUACUUUUAAUCACAGUUGGUGUUUUACACGUGUCACUUCAAAGUUCUCACCACUGAAGAAGUUGCCAGUACUCACUCCCACUGGAGGGAUUGAAGGGCUGGGAACAGCCGAGGAUCACACAGAAUCAGUUUUCAGGAUCCUGCUAAAGUGAAAGUCUGUAUUUUCUCCAGUGAACUAAAGCAGCAUCUCUAAUAUUGUAAUUACCUGCUUCUAGAGGACUCAGUUAAACUCACCAGGAAACCAUUGACCAUGAUCCUU
Molecule: long non-coding RNA, 578 nt
Organism: Heterocephalus glaber (naked mole-rat)
Lineage: Eukaryota; Metazoa; Chordata; Mammalia; Rodentia; Bathyergidae
Source: Ensembl